GUUCUCUCCCCACCCUACAGACUCACACCAUCUUCUCACUGCUCGGAGUGGACCACGCUUAUGUCACCAGUAUUGGCAGACUCAUUGGAAUUGUUACCCUAAAGGAGCUCCGGAAGGCUAUCGAGGGCUCUGUCACAGCACAGGGUGUGAAAGUCCGGCCACCCCUCGCCAGCUUCCGAGACAGUGCCACCAGCAGCAGCGACACUGAGACCACUGAGGUGCAUGCACUCUGGGGGCCUCGCUCCCACCACACCCUCCCCGGGGAGGGCAGCCCUUCUGAUAGCGAUGACAAGUGCCAGUGAACCCCUCAAUGGGCCGCCUAGCAUGGUGCUGGCCAUGGCUGCAGACCCAGAUCCUACAGCUCUCAUGUUCCUUCUGCUUUGGGAAAGCAGGAGGCACCUGCAGCUAGAGGCUGGAGCCCCAGCCCCACUUCCAGACCUGGGGUACCAGCUUCUCACAAUUCAUUCUACCUGGAAUCUGACCCACCUGCAGCAAGUUUUACAAGGACAGGAAGAUCGGCACUACCCUGGCAGGAUGGAGGCGGCUGUCACUUGAACACUGUUCCCCCUUUGAGGGGGAAAGGGGUAAAACUAAGAUGGGUUUAUACUGGAACCUCCAAUGACCAGAUGUAUAUAUAGAUUUGCAAAGAUUUUUAUAUUAAUUUAAUAAAACAAAUUCUUAAAUAGAACAAAA
Long non-coding RNA from Galeopterus variegatus (Sunda flying lemur), 693 nucleotides. RefSeq lists it as uncharacterized. Lineage: Eukaryota; Metazoa; Chordata; Mammalia; Dermoptera; Cynocephalidae. The record is from RefSeq and is a predicted model, not a curated record. The transcript has 2 exons.